CUGCGUACUAAAGAAGAAAGCGAGGAAUCGAGUGGAAACUCCCUGCUAAAUGGCGUUGGUGAUGCUUGUGUUAGGAUUUCCCCAGCCAUGGUGCAAGUUCAAGGUGCUCUUCCAGUCUUCCCUUUGCCAUUGCCCAUUUUGAUGUUGAUGAAAAAUGCGACCAAGAAACUGAUAAAAAAUGCGACCGAGAAUGUGAGAAAGAAUUGGACGCCAAAACCCAUUUCUUCUAUCAAAGACUGCUUCUUUCGUCGCAAGUAAGAAUUUGG
This 266-nucleotide unclassified non-coding RNA is filed under the name Hevea brasiliensis (rubber tree). Lineage: Eukaryota; Viridiplantae; Streptophyta; Magnoliopsida; Malpighiales; Euphorbiaceae. The record is from RNAcentral.